RNAcentral lists this ribosomal RNA (503 nucleotides) under uncultured bacterium. RNAcentral describes it as "partial 16S ribosomal RNA". It matches the Rfam family "Bacterial small subunit ribosomal RNA", at positions 28 to 523 of the family's 1533-position model. The record is from RNAcentral.
GAUGAACGCUGGCGGCGUGCCUAAUACAUGCAAGUCGAACGAAGAUCUAGCUUGCUAGGUCUUAGUGGCGAACGGGUGAGUAAUACAUAAAUAAUCUGCCCAUAUGACUGGGAUAACUAUUGGAAACGAUAGCUAAUACCGGAUAGGUUGAUCGGAGGCAUCUCUGAUGAAUUAAAGUAGGAUUUCUACACAAAUGGAUGAGUUUAUGGCGCAUUAGUUAGUUGGUGGGGUAACGGCCUACCAAGACGAUGAUGCGUAGCCGACCUGAGAGGGUGACCGGCCACACUGGGACUGAGACACGGCCCAGACUCCUACGGGAGGCAGCAGUAGGGAAUUUUCGGCAAUGGGCGCAAGCCUGACCGAGCAACGCCGCGUGAGUGAUUAAGGCCUUCGGGUUGUAAAGCUCUGUUGUAAGGGAAGAACAUUCAGGAUAGGAAAUGAUCUUGAACUGACGGUACCUUACCAGAAAGCCACGGCUAACUUCGUGCCAGCCGCCGCCGUAA